Molecule: ribosomal RNA, 452 nt
Filed under: Escherichia coli
Lineage: Bacteria; Pseudomonadati; Pseudomonadota; Gammaproteobacteria; Enterobacterales; Enterobacteriaceae
Also listed under: 1 other name
Description: partial 23S ribosomal RNA
Rfam family: Bacterial large subunit ribosomal RNA
Source: RNAcentral
GUUGAAAAAUUAGCGGAUGACUUGUGGCUGGGGGUGAAAGGCCAAUCAAACCGGGAGAUAGCUGGUUCUCCCCGAAAGCUAUUUAGGUAGCGCCUCGUGAAUUCAUCUCCGGGGGUAGAGCACUGUUUCGGCAAGGGGGUCAUCCCGACUUACCAACCCGAUGCAAACUGCGAAUACCGGAGAAUGUUAUCACGGGAGACACACGGCGGGUGCUAACGUCCGUCGUGAAGAGGGAAACAACCCAGACCGCCAGCUAAGGUCCCAAAGUCAUGGUUAAGUGGGAAACGAUGUGGGAAGGCCCAGACAGCCAGGAUGUUGGCUUAGAAGCAGCCAUCAUUUAAAGAAAGCGUAAUAGCUCACUGGUCGAGUCGGCCUGCGCGGAAGAUGUAACGGGGCUAAACCAUGCACCGAAGCUGCGGCAGCGACACUAUGUGUUGUUGGGUAGGGGAGCG